UCAGUGCCUUAGUAGCGCCGAUCCAUCCACUCGCGUUCGUUCGGCUCUUGGCGAUCCAAAUACUCGGACUUAUGUUGCUUACUUUUUGGAUUCGGGUGCAGGCAUUAUUAACAAGAAAAAAUAUUUAAAAAAAAUUGAAAUCGCAGUCGUUGGGCGUCCAAAGAGAGCAAUUCUUAGCGAAUGUCGAUAAGUGCGCACUCUGCGAACAACCAAAGAAAGCAAUGAUUUUUUUUGAAACAAGUGAAUAUUUUUAAAACAAAGCAAUUACCAAAAAUUUGCAUGUUUUUGUGUGGCAGCUGUUGUCAAAUUUCCAGAAUAAGUAUAAACAUAUAAUUAGACUUCAAAUUUGGAUUAUUUAGGGCUAAUGCAAUAACAACUGUUUGGUCAUCUGUUCAACAAUGAUGUUAUUAACCUUUUUAGGCUACUAUAAAUUAUCUUAUUUAAAAUUGAAAAAAAGGCAUAUAAUAUGUAUAAUUUUUCCCACUUUUUUUUACCAACAACGCAACGUUUUCACUCGGAUUGCUCAUUCGAAAUGCGUAGAAGAACAUGAAAACAUUUAAAUACACUCCCGAACACUUGAACACAUGGUCGCACUCGCUCCCUCUCCCGAAUCCGUCAGAUACAUUACAAUCGCGCUACCCGAACCCCGCGAUACAUUUACAUUAGCAGGCCGUUUAGUGCUGUUGUCUCUGAAUUUCAUUACCAUUUUCCCAUUUGCUUUCUUGAUAAAAUUCGAGAGUCCGUUUAAUGUUUACAUUUUGUGCUUUUGUGUUUCGUGUAUUUUGUAUUUUGUGUUUUCGAGUUGCGCUAGUAGCAUACGUUUGGAAAAACUGCUGAAUGGAAUGCUUGUUUACAAUGUGGAAAUAAUGCCUACUCAUAUUUUGUUAUUCUCGCGACUAAUUUGUGAAUAAAUCCCACCGCCGUUGGCAUAGAAUAGAGUUUGCAUGGAAACCAAAUCGAACCGGAACUUUGAAACGCUGGGAUGGCAUAGAACCAGAUCUCUCUGAGCAGUGACCCGCUUAUCAGGUGAUUCGAUUAAGGUUAACCUGGCUUAUCGCAUCCAGCAUCGAGAGUCCUCAACUCUGGCCAAGAUCAAUUGAGCUCAAUCAGUCGAUCGAUCGAACGACGUCAAUAUCUUAACUGGCUAACCCAGCGGGCAUAUAUGGAGAUUGACAUUGAAGGGUGAUGAUGGCUUGGGAUCGCAUUGUGGCAUCUACAUAUACCUUGCCGCAAUUGCUGCUCACUUGUUCGGCUUUAUUCGCUUCCCAGGCGCAUUCUAUUCAUCCGUAAGUUAGCCGUUCUAGCCGCACUAACGGUUCUAGCCAUACCCUCUAUACAUUCUAGUCUUAAUUGGAGCUUCAGUUGAUGGGUCGCUGUGAUGCACAUGGGCGUGCCGCCAUUAGCAAUUCGUUUUGGGGCGAACCCCGGCAUUAUUUCGAUUCCAGAACCUCCAUUGUUUUCCAAACGCACGUGCAGUUCGGUGCGGAAGUGUACUAUUCUGGCUUAUUUACUCCAAGCUAUCCCCUUUCAGGCCACAUCGGUCAAUCCAUUCAGAGCUAAUCUAAUAAUAUCAACGUAAUCAGACAGAAUUCUUUAUAAUGCGAUAUGCUUUCUCAUAAAAAGAUAUAUUGCACUUUAAGAAGAUUCAAGCCCAAUUUAAAUAUAGCACAGCAAAUAAAGAUAGUAAGCUACUUUAUUUUUGCUCUAAAAUGUAAUAUAAGAUACAUUAAGACGUAAAAGAUACACAUACCUAUGGAAUAAAACGCAUCUGAAGCAAUAACUGGCCUUAUAAUUAAAUGAUUUUGCACAAUAAAAAUGAUCUGCAUGUAUUAUAUUAUGUAUAUUAUAAUGUGUUCUUAAGUACUUACCCCCACACACACAUUGUAUGGAUAAUAAUGAUAAUUUCUACUUAUAACGACAGCACAAUUUAGCCAUCCAGGCGUUGGCGAAGCUUAAGUGAAUGAUUGCCCGGAAUUGUUCACGAAUUCAUAGAAAUCUAGGCGUUGCUAAACUCAAUGAGCCCACUUAAGACAUUCCACUCGACUUUUGAUUUUCGAGACUAGGACUCCGACUAAAGGCAUUCAAAAACAAGCAUUUAAUUUCUAUAGAUAGGUACAUAGGUGUGGUAAUUCCCUAGAUUGACCUGGCAUAACCCAGGUUCAGCAACCAGAUGAGUCCGAUCACAAAGAAGCUGUAGAAGGUGACAUUGUAGAGAUUGAGGCGACUGAGGAGUCCCCUGAUUCUGCCGGCGGAGACAACAUCCUGGCCAUUCUUUGGCCGAUCGACAAGCAUGUCCUUCCAGCUGACCACCUGGGGUCGCACCACAAAGACGGCAUUCACCGCCGCCCGGAAGCCAC
Molecule: long non-coding RNA, 2357 nt
Organism: Drosophila simulans
Lineage: Eukaryota; Metazoa; Arthropoda; Insecta; Diptera; Drosophilidae
Exons: 2
Source: RefSeq, a predicted model, not a curated record